UGCUUUCAAAUUGUUACUGCAGGUAUGCUUGCAGAUCAGUUUGACAGUUGUUGCAGCCAGCCAACUGCAUUAGUUUCACUUCAGGUGGCAAGUGAAAAACCUUUUGAAUGUACUCCACUACUCCCUUGCUGUUAGCAAAUUGUGGACUGACGUGGCGAAGCAAGUGAGUGUCAAUCAAUGGACAACUAUGUUCACUCGUUAAAAAUGUGAAAUGUCGUGAGUAUAAUCCUUCCCUUAGUGUGCAAGGUCCUGGAAAUAUUUCGUGUGGUAGGUUAUUACAUUAGGUUUAAGUACUACCUUAUGCAGUGUAAUUUUUGCUGGGAUUUUGGGGAGAGCGGAGAGGAAAUGAAUUUCAUGAUGCCGCUUUCAUAUCUUUUCCUCUUUCUGCAUGCCGAGGUGGUGACGGUCGUCGUCCUUGGUCGCAUCGCCCUUUUUAUUUUCUCUGUAAAGUGUGCCGAGUUCUUGCUUUUGUUUCUCUCUGUUUCUCCUUAGACUGUGUGCAGCGUGUGAUAGACAAUCGGGACUCUCAUCUCGAGGGCAUUAAAGGCGUUAAUUGAAGUAUCACAGAGGUAUAGAACGAAAUUUCUCUUCUGCUAUCUGGGGGCUGUGACGCCAACGCUUCUUAAUAUUUAAAAAGUUGGGGCUGGCCUUGCAGUCGGACGAAAUCACGUCGUCUUGUUUGAUUGGCUCACAGACAGCACGUGGUACGAGCGAGUGCUGGCCAUUCAAGUGCCAACGUCGGGGAAUUACCUCAAGAGGCUAACGGUCGUCCAGGAACGACUAUACUACUUGGUGGCCUAAUGCGAUUUUCUGUUGGAAGUUUUACUUGAAUAAUUGUUUCCCAUCUUGCCAGCGCUUAAAGCAAGGGCGUCAGUUAACCGUUGAGGAUCGAGUACCUUUCGCCGGCCGUUGUCGGGGCCCAAACGCCUUCUAUUGGCUGUUCCAGUGUUCCUUUAAGAGAUAUGAGAGAAAAUGGAAGUUGCCAAAGUCGGCAAAGUGUCCAGUCCUUGUGGCCGCUUCCUGAUAGCAUUCGUGAUUCAACUCUACGAGCCAUUCGCCGAGCGUUUGGGUCUGGAAGUACAAGCUGGCCACUUUUCACUGCUCUCAUGCGACGCGUCAGGCGUCACCAACUUUAAGCCAAAAGUCAUCAAUGCCACAGUCAAGAAACUGAGACCAAGUUGAUAACGCUGGGCAGCAAAUUUAAGACAUUGAAUCUCAUCUGUGCCUAUUCUGAGCAGUUCAACCCCUGACCUUCAGGUAAAAGGGAAAAAAACUGGAAUGUGCAACUAUUCGUUUUCUUGGAGAGCUGAUCGUCGUCAGGUGGCGUUGAAAGUAUGUCCACCAGGUGGCCUUCUUCUUUGGUUCAGAACUGAGAACUGGCAGUGCCAUUUGUUUCCGAGACGUUGAACUUGUAAACGACUGCCAAGAUUUGUGUUCUACGUACAAUACGACUAAAAUUAUUUUCGUAUUCUGCAAAGGCUUUGUUUAAGGUGCAAUCCUGUCCACUGUUCCGAGAACUUCUAGUUGAGCCCUUAGCAUGUGGUCACAUCCAGGUCUGUCAGCCAGGGUAAUUUGAAGAUGUUUUCGUCCAAUGAAGAACAUCUCGACUUGCUGCUUACUAACUGCAUGAAUUGGGAAGUUGCCUUUAUUGCACAUACAACAGCUUGUUUUUUAUUUUGCUUUAUAUCAUAUUUGUUUCAUAGGUUUUUUUACGCUGUUGGUUGAUGUUUGAAGUAAAACUGAAAUUGCCAAUGGUGUUGCAGUCUAAUGUGCUGAUGCUGUUGCCUGCCUGUUACAUGGUUUAAGGAUUAGUUUUAAAAAAUUGAAUUUACGAAGGUUCCCAUUGUUUUUUUGUUACGUGUGUUCUCUAUUUGUUACUAUGUACGUGGUGUGUGUUCAGAAAGCUGUUGGUUUUGAUUUGUUUGUUUGUAUUUGCUUUGGCUUGUUUGUUUUUUUGUUAUUAUUUG
Molecule: long non-coding RNA, 1967 nt
Organism: Daphnia pulex (common water flea)
Lineage: Eukaryota; Metazoa; Arthropoda; Branchiopoda; Diplostraca; Daphniidae
Exons: 6
Source: RefSeq, a predicted model, not a curated record